UACGAAGGUCCCAAGCGUUAUCCGGAUUUAUUGGGCGUAAAGGGCGCGUAGGCGGCCUGGCAAGUGGAUGGUGAAAUCCCUCGGCUUAACCGAGGAACUGCCAUCCAGACUGCUUGGCUUGAGACCGGGAGAGGUGAGUGGAAUUCCCAGUGUAGCGGUGAAAUGCGUAGAUAUUGGGAGGAACACCAGUGGCGAAGGCGGCUCACUGGACCGGUACUGACGCUGAGGCGCGAAAGCGUGGGGAGCAAGCGGG
This 253-nucleotide ribosomal RNA is filed under the name uncultured bacterium. RNAcentral describes it as "partial 16S ribosomal RNA". It matches the Rfam family "Bacterial small subunit ribosomal RNA", at positions 524 to 776 of the family's 1533-position model. The record is from RNAcentral.